RNAcentral lists this ribosomal RNA (92 nucleotides) under Escherichia coli. RNAcentral describes it as "partial 16S ribosomal RNA". It matches the Rfam family "Bacterial small subunit ribosomal RNA", at positions 1 to 88 of the family's 1533-position model. The record is from RNAcentral. Lineage: Bacteria; Pseudomonadati; Pseudomonadota; Gammaproteobacteria; Enterobacterales; Enterobacteriaceae.
AAAUUUAAGAGUUUGAUCAUGGCUCAGAUUGAACGCUGGCGGCAGGCCUAACACAUGCAAGUCGAACGGUAACAGGAAGAAGCUUGCUUCUU